ACACAGUCUACAUGUCCUUAUGCAUAUAUUGGAUCUUAUCGACUAUGGAAUCCAAUUUAUAGCACCUAACCUAAUUGUCAAUAUCCAAUCAUUUGUCAAGUAUAGCUCGUUGACUAUAGAUUGGAUAAGCUGAUGACAUUGGGUUAAUCUGGUCAAGAAUCAUGGUUUAAUUUCUAAAAGCUAAGGACUAUUCUUGGAUUUUGAGCCAGAAUAUAUAAUUG
This 221-nucleotide long non-coding RNA is filed under the name Elaeis guineensis (African oil palm). RNAcentral's name for it is "long non-coding RNA (EGUI_LNC046917)". Lineage: Eukaryota; Viridiplantae; Streptophyta; Magnoliopsida; Arecales; Arecaceae. The record is from RNAcentral.